AAGGGAGACCUAAUUCAGGUAAAAGACGAAAAAAAAGUAGUCGCUACCAAGAAUCAAUCCCAAAAGGUCGGAGCGAGGCGAAAUUGGCUUUCAAACUAGGUUCUGGGUUCAAACAAGACCUGAAUCAGGAACAAGGGCUAUUAGCUCAGGUGGUUAGAGCGCACCCCUGAUAAGGGUGAGGUCCCUGGUUCGAGUCCAGGAUGGCCCACCGGCACAGGUGGCAAAAACAAGAGAAGCGAGGAAUCAGCACCUUAUCUUACUUAUAUAGUAAGAGAGAAUGCUGGCUCUGAGUAAAGAGUCCAGAGGAACCUUGAAAACUGCAUAGAGCUAGGUGAAAAAGCCAAAAAAGAAGACCGCAAGGUCAAGCUAAUAAGGGCUAACGGUGGAUACCUAGGCAC
RNAcentral lists this transfer RNA (398 nucleotides) under uncultured Microcystis sp. RNAcentral's name for it is "partial contains 16S-23S ribosomal RNA intergenic spacer, and 23S ribosomal RNA". The stretch from base 135 to 208 matches the Rfam family "tRNA". The record is from RNAcentral. Lineage: Bacteria; Bacillati; Cyanobacteriota; Cyanophyceae; Chroococcales; Microcystaceae.